RNAcentral lists this ribosomal RNA (377 nucleotides) under uncultured organism. RNAcentral's name for it is "bacterial SSU rRNA". It matches the Rfam family "Bacterial small subunit ribosomal RNA", at positions 526 to 897 of the family's 1533-position model. The record is from RNAcentral.
CGUAGGGCGCGAGCGUUGUCCGGAUUUAUUGGGCGUAAAGAGCUCGUAGGCGGCUUGUUGCGUCGACUGUGAAAACCCGCGGCUCAACCGCGUGGCUUGCAGUCGAUACGGGCAGGCUAGAAUUCGGUAGGGGAGACUGGAAUUCCUGGUGUAGCGGUGAAAUGCGCAGAUAUCAGGAGGAACACCGGUGGCGAAGGCGGGUCUCUGGGCCGAUAUUGACGCUGAGGAGCGAAAGCGUGGGAGCGAACAGGAUUAGAUACCCUGGUAGUCCACGCUGUAAACGUUGGGCGCUAGGUGUGGGGGGCCUCUCCGGGUUCCCUGUGCCGCAGCUAACGCAUUAAGCGCCCCGCCUCGGGGAGUACGGGCCGCAAGGCUAA